CGGCGAGUGAAGCGGCAACAGCUCAAAUUUGAAAUCUGGCGCAAGCCCGAGUUGUAAUUUGUAGAGGAUGCUUCGGCGUCGGCCCCGUUCUAAGUUCCUUGGAACAGGACGUCCUAGAGGGUGAGAACCCCGUCUUCGAUCGGGUCGCCGUCGCCAUGUGAAGCUCCUUCGACGAGUCGAGUUGUUUGGGAAUGCAGCUCUAAGCGGGAGGUAAAUUUCUUCUAAAGCUAAAUAACGGCCAGAGACCGAUAGCGCACAAGUAGAGUGAUCGAAAGAUGAAAAGCACUUUGGAAAGAGAGUUAAAAAGUACGUGAAAUUGUUGAAAGGGAAGCUCAAGCUGCCAGACUUGGCCGCGCCUCUUCGGUGGCGCGGGCAGGCCAGCAUCAGUUCGGGCGGCCUGAUAAAGACCUUUGGAAUGUAGCUCCCUCGGGAGUGUUAUAGCCUUGGGUGUAAUGGGGUCAGCCUGGACUGAGGAUCGCGUUCGCUAGGAUGCUGGCGUAAUGGCAGUUUGCGACCCGUCUUGAAACACGGACCAAGGAGUCUAACAUCUGUGCGAGUGUUUGGGUGUAAAACCCAUGCGCGUAAUGAAAGUGAACGGAGGUGGGAAGCGCAAGCUGCACCAUCGACCGAUCCUGAUGUCUUCGGAUGGAUUUGAGUAAGAGCAUAGCUGUUGGGACCCGAAAGAUGGUGAACUAUGCCUGAAUAGGGUGAAGCCAGAGGAAACUCUGGUGGAGGCUCGCAGCGGUUCUGACGUGCAAAUCGAUCGUCAAAUUUGGGUAUAGGGGCGAAAGACUAAUCGA
This 800-nucleotide ribosomal RNA is filed under the name Phaeococcomyces sp. DTO 296-E9. RNAcentral's name for it is "eukaryotic LSU rRNA". It matches the Rfam family "Eukaryotic large subunit ribosomal RNA", at positions 87 to 938 of the family's 3401-position model. The record is from RNAcentral. Lineage: Eukaryota; Fungi; Ascomycota; Arthoniomycetes; Lichenostigmatales; Phaeococcomycetaceae.